Molecule: long non-coding RNA, 1398 nt
Organism: Gigantopelta aegis
Lineage: Eukaryota; Metazoa; Mollusca; Gastropoda; Neomphalida; Peltospiridae
Exons: 3
Source: RefSeq, a predicted model, not a curated record
CAAAGUUGCCUCAUUUCACUAUCAAACCAUACGUAACUAAGGAGAAGCUUCACCGCGUCACGUGAUAAACAAUGGCGGCCAGGGGUCGAAGUACCCGUAUGUUCGGUUCCGAGAAUUGGCCUCGGCGGGAACGUUACUCUGAACACGUCUACCAGACCAGUUUUCAAUGAAACCAGGGGCGAGGUACUCGGGUAUCAUCACUUCGGCAAGGGCUUCUGCAUCACACAAUCGGAGUUGGUGCCAGAGGGGACAGCUUUCGUGGUCAUGUGACAUGACCAUAUGUGGAAAAGGGCCAAAGUUCCUUGUUCUUGGUGUGGAUCUCACACAAGGCAUUCUACUCUGGUCACCGAGCAAUCAACACCGAGUUACUCGAGCCAUCUUAAGGUUUGGACUCUGGUCGUGUGGGGUAAGUGAUACUGGCAUCAUUACAUAUUAGUUUGUUCAUUCAUAUUAUACUUUUACAGAUAUGUAUAUUAUAAUUUUCAUAAUUUGUACUUAAAUGGUACAUAUGUGAUCAGUCAUUUUUAUAAACGAAUGUCCAAGUAGACAGUACAAAACCUGUAUUUAGUGGACACAUAUUUAGUAUGCUUUUAAAUAGAGGUGACCUUUUUAGUAAAAGUCUCAUCUCUGUACUUAUUUGAAUAAUUAAUAUUAGAAUAUUGCAUACAUAUUAACGAGGUUAAUGGUUUAAUUAUUGUAAAUGUUUAUGCUGGGAUAAAAUAUAUUAAAGACAUUGUUAGUAUUGAAAGGAAAGAGCUGAGUUAGUGAGCAAAAUAUAUUUUAUCACCAAAUGAUCACACAUGUAAACGAUUACUGCAAGGGAACAGUUGGUAUUUAGCCUCUCUCUCUCAGUAGGGGAUUAUGGUGUGUGUCCUAAUUAGCACCAACAGCUCUAACUCUAAGAGACCAAAGCACUUGGAAUUUUGGGAAAUAGUCAGAAUGACCGGGGGUCAUUCCUUUAGCAGACGACCAGUUUGACACCGAUAUCUAUUAAAUCCUCAGCUGCAACAUAAACAUUGGUCUCAGCUUGAAAUUAAUUGACUUAAGCUGAAUAACCUUUGGUAAUGUGUUUGUAUUUGUUUGAGAAUGGCUUUCUCACUUUGUUUUUAUGUGAAGGAUAUACAUGUACACUAGAGAAGAAACGUAUACAACUUUACAUAAUUAGAAUAGGAAAACAUGUUUAUCAGGAUAAUAUUAAAGUAAAAAUGCUUUUCUAAUAAUAGAGUGACAGUUCUUAUUAAGUGUUUAGAAAUAAUCUAUUUUGUAUUGUUAACUUGUUGCAUUAGUGCCGGCCAAAUUUAUAUGGGUUGAGGAUGAUUACAAAUGUCUUAUUCAUGUUACUUCUUCUUGAAGCCAUGAUUUAAUGAUAUUGUGGAAAAAUUUGUAUUUUAUUUAUAU